Molecule: ribosomal RNA, 492 nt
Filed under: uncultured bacterium
Lineage: Bacteria
Description: partial 16S ribosomal RNA
Rfam family: Bacterial small subunit ribosomal RNA
Source: RNAcentral
AGUGAACGCUGGCGGUAGACCUAACACAUGCAAGUCGAACGGCAGCACAGUAAGAGCUUGCUCUUACGGGUGGCGAGUGGCGGACGGGUGAGGAAUACAUCGGAAUCUACUUUUUCGUGGGGGAUAACGUAGGGAAACUUACGCUAAUACCGCAUACGACCUACGGUUGAAAGCAGGGGAUCUUCGGACCUUGCGCGAUUGAAUGAGCCGAUGUCGGAUUAGCUAGUUGGCGGGGUAAAGGCCCACCAAGGCGACGAUCCGUAGCUGGUCUGAGAGGAGGAUCAGCCACAUUGGAACUGAGACACGGUCCAGAGUCCUACGGGAGGCAGCAGUGGGGAAUAUUGGACAAUGGGCGCAAGCCUGAUCCAGCCAUACCGCGUGGGUGAAGAAGGCCUUCGGGUUGUAAAGCCCUUUUGUUGGGAAAGAAAAGCAGCAGGUUAAUACCCCGCUGUUCUGACGGUACCCAAAGAAUAAGCACCGGCUAACUUCGUG